RNAcentral lists this ribosomal RNA (374 nucleotides) under uncultured bacterium. Its description in RNAcentral is "bacterial SSU rRNA". It matches the Rfam family "Bacterial small subunit ribosomal RNA", at positions 521 to 896 of the family's 1533-position model. The record is from RNAcentral.
UAAUACGAAGGGUGCUAGCGUUGUUCGGAAUUACUGGGCGUAAAGCGCGCGUAGGCGGCCAUACAAGUCAGGGGUGAAAUCCCGGAGCUUAACUCCGGAACUGCCUUUGAGACUGUAUGGCUGGAGUGUGUGAGGGGAUGGCGGAAUUCCUAAUGUAGAGGUGAAAUUCGUAGAUAUUAGGAGGAACACCGGUGGCGAAGGCGGCCAUCUGGCACACAACUGACGCUGAGGCGCGAAAGCGUGGGGAUCAAACAGGAUUAGAUACCCUGGUAGUCCACGCCGUAAACGAUGAGUGCUAGCCGUUGGGUCCGUAGGACUCAGUGGCGCCGCUAACGCAUUAAGCACUCCGCCUGGGGAGUACGGUCGCAAGAUUA